Molecule: ribosomal RNA, 120 nt
Filed under: Helianthus annuus (common sunflower)
Lineage: Eukaryota; Viridiplantae; Streptophyta; Magnoliopsida; Asterales; Asteraceae
Source: RNAcentral
GGUUGCGAUCAUACCAACACUAAUGCACCGGAUCCCAUCAGAACUCUGCAGUUAAGCGUGCUUGGGCGAGAGUAGUACUAGGAUGGGUGACCCCCUGGGAAGUCCUCGUGUUGCAACCCC